CCACAAGGCAGCUUACAACAUGGCAGCUGGCUUCUCUCAGAGCAAGUCAGCGAAAGAGUGAAAUAGAGCAAGCAAGGUGGAAGCCAAACUGUUCAAAAUCUAAUUUCAGAAGUACCAUCCUGUCACUUUUGCUGUAUUCUAUCCACUAAAAGGAAGUCACUAGAUCCAGUCUACAAUCAGAAGAAAAAAUUACACACAGACAAAAAUUGACAAAUGAAAGCCAUCUUAGAAGUUGUCUACCACAGAAGAAGAAUGGACAGAGGAAGGAGAG
This 271-nucleotide long non-coding RNA is filed under the name Homo sapiens (human). RNAcentral's name for it is "HSALNT0202298". Lineage: Eukaryota; Metazoa; Chordata; Mammalia; Primates; Hominidae. The record is from RNAcentral.